RNAcentral lists this ribosomal RNA (250 nucleotides) under uncultured bacterium. RNAcentral's name for it is "partial 16S ribosomal RNA". It matches the Rfam family "Bacterial small subunit ribosomal RNA", at positions 524 to 773 of the family's 1533-position model. The record is from RNAcentral.
UACGAAGGGGGCGAGCGUUGUUCGGAAUUACUGGGCGUAAAGGGCGCGCAGGCGGCUCUUCAAGUCAGGCGUGAAAGCCCCGGGCUUAACCUGGGAAUUGCGCUUGGGACUGGAGGGCUUGAGUACGGGAGAGGAGAGUGGAAUUCCCAGUGUAGAGGUGAAAUUCGUAGAUAUUGGGAAGAACACCGGUGGCGAAGGCGGCUCUCUGGACCGUAACUGACGCUGAGGCGCGAAAGCGUGGGGAGCAAAC